RNAcentral lists this ribosomal RNA (253 nucleotides) under uncultured bacterium. RNAcentral's name for it is "partial 16S ribosomal RNA". It matches the Rfam family "Bacterial small subunit ribosomal RNA", at positions 524 to 776 of the family's 1533-position model. The record is from RNAcentral.
UACGUAGGGGGCAAGCGUUGUCCGGAAUCAUUGGGCGUAAAGCGCGUGUAGGCGGCCAGAAAAGUCCGCUGUGAAAACUCGAGGCUCAACUUCGAGCUGUCGGUGGAAACUUUCUGGCUAGAGUCCGGAAGAGGAGAAUGGAAUUCCUGGUGUAGCGGUGAAAUGCGCAGAUAUCAGGAAGAACACCUAUGGCGAAGGCAGCACUCUGGGACGGUACUGACGCUGAGACGCGAAAGCGUGGGGAGCGAACAGG